This 323-nucleotide unclassified non-coding RNA is filed under the name soil metagenome. Its description in RNAcentral is "partial contains 5.8S ribosomal RNA, internal transcribed spacer 2, and large subunit ribosomal RNA". The stretch from base 1 to 120 matches the Rfam family "5.8S ribosomal RNA", at positions 35 to 154 of the family's 154-position model. The record is from RNAcentral.
GAUGAAGAACGCAGCGAAAUGCGAUAAGUAAUGCGAAUUGCAGAAUUCGGUGAGUCAUCGAAUCUUUGAACGCACAUUGCGCCCUGUGGUAUUCCGCAGGGCAUGCCUGUUCGAGCGUCAUUUCAACCCUCAAGCUCUGCUUGGUGUUGGGCCCUGCCCGCUGCGGCCGGCCCUAAAGACAGUGGCGGUGCCGCCUGGCCCUGAGCGUAGUACAUCUCUCGCUCCAGUGCCCGGUGGUAGCCUGCCAGAACCCCAACUCUCGUGGUUGACCUCGGAUCAGGUAGGGAUACCCGCUGAACUUAAGCAUAUCAAUAAGCGGAGGA